Molecule: ribosomal RNA, 254 nt
Filed under: uncultured bacterium
Lineage: Bacteria
Description: partial 16S ribosomal RNA
Rfam family: Bacterial small subunit ribosomal RNA
Source: RNAcentral
GACGAACCGUGCGAACGUUAUUCGGAAUCACUGGGCUUAAAGCGCGUGUAGGCGGGCCGCCCCGUCGGCUGCUGAAAUCCCCCGGCUCAACCGGGGAACGGGCACCGAUACGAGCGGCCUGGAGGGGGGUAGGGGGGUCUGGAACUUCCGGUGGAGCGGUGAAAUGCGUUGAGAUCGGAAGGAACGCCCGUGGCGAAAGCGAGGCCCUGGACCCUUACUGACGCUGAGACGCGAAAGCCAGGGGAGCGAACGGG